CGGAGCGUAGCGCAGCCUGGUUAGCGCACCAGUCUGGGGGACUGGGGGUCGGAGGUUCAAAUCCUCUCGCUCCG
Molecule: transfer RNA, 74 nt
Filed under: Hyphomicrobium sulfonivorans
Lineage: Bacteria; Pseudomonadati; Pseudomonadota; Alphaproteobacteria; Hyphomicrobiales; Hyphomicrobiaceae
Rfam family: tRNA
About the family: Transfer RNA (tRNA) molecules are approximately 80 nucleotides in length. Their secondary structure includes four short double-helical elements and three loops (D, anti-codon, and T loops).
Source: Rfam by way of RNAcentral